This 497-nucleotide ribosomal RNA is filed under the name uncultured bacterium. RNAcentral's name for it is "partial 16S ribosomal RNA". It matches the Rfam family "Bacterial small subunit ribosomal RNA", at positions 28 to 507 of the family's 1533-position model. The record is from RNAcentral.
GACGAACGCUGGCGGCGUGCCUAAUACAUGCAAGUAGAACGCUGAAGCGAGGAGCUUGCUCUUCUUGGAUGAGUUGCGAACGGGUGAGUAACGCGUAGGUAACCUGCCUUGUAGCGGGGGAUAACUAUUGGAAACGAUAGCUAAUACCGCAUAACAAUGGAUGACACAUGUCAUUUAUUUGAAAGGGGCAAUUGCUCCACUACAAGAUGGACCUGCGUUGUAUUAGCUAGUAGGUGAGGUAAUGGCUCACCUAGGCGACGAUACAUAGCCGACCUGAGAGGGUGAUCGGCCACACUGGGACUGAGACACGGCCCAGACUCCUACGGGAGGCAGCAGUAGGGAAUCUUCGGCAAUGGGGGCAACCCUGACCGAGCAACGCCGCGUGAGUGAAGAAGGUUUUCGGAUCGUAAAGCUCUGUUGUAAGUCAAGAACGGGGGUGAGAGUGGAAAGUUCACACUGUGACGGUAGCUUACCAGAAAGGGACGGCUAACUACGUG